Molecule: ribosomal RNA, 419 nt
Filed under: Salmonella enterica subsp. enterica serovar Enteritidis
Lineage: Bacteria; Pseudomonadati; Pseudomonadota; Gammaproteobacteria; Enterobacterales; Enterobacteriaceae
Description: partial 23S ribosomal RNA
Rfam family: Bacterial large subunit ribosomal RNA
Source: RNAcentral
ACUAUCAUUAACUGAAUCCAUAGGUUAAUGAGGCGAACCGGGGGAACUGAAACAUCUAAGUACCCCGAGGAAAAGAAAUCAACCGAGAUUCCCCCAGUAGCGGCGAGCGAACGGGGAGGAGCCCAGAGCCUGAAUCAGCAUGUGUGUUAGUGGAAGCGUCUGGAAAGGCGCGCGAUACAGGGUGACAGCCCCGUACACAAAAGCGCAUGUGCUGUGAGCUCGAUGAGUAGGGCGGGACACGUGGUAUCCUGUCUGAAUAUGGGGGGACCAUCCUCCAAGGCUAAAUACUCCUGACUGACCGAUAGUGAACCAGUACCGUGAGGGAAAGGCGAAAAGAACCCCGGCGAGGGGAGUGAAAAAGAACCUGAAACCGUGUACGUACAAGCAGUGGGAGCACCCUUUGGGUGUGACUGCGUACC